Molecule: transfer RNA, 72 nt
Filed under: Heterocephalus glaber (naked mole-rat)
Lineage: Eukaryota; Metazoa; Chordata; Mammalia; Rodentia; Bathyergidae
Rfam family: tRNA
About the family: Transfer RNA (tRNA) molecules are approximately 80 nucleotides in length.
Source: Rfam by way of RNAcentral
GAGAGUGUGGCUCAGUGAUAAAGUACUUGCCUAGCAUGUGCAAGAUCCUGGGUUUGAUCCCCAGCACUGCUA